RNAcentral lists this unclassified non-coding RNA (345 nucleotides) under Hevea brasiliensis (rubber tree). Lineage: Eukaryota; Viridiplantae; Streptophyta; Magnoliopsida; Malpighiales; Euphorbiaceae. The record is from RNAcentral.
UUUCACACACUACUUUUCGUUUUCUUUCUAUGCCUUCUUGAAUUUCAAUCUUUAUGCAUGGUUCUUUGAGGUUCUUUAUUUUCCAUUGCUCAAAUAUAUCCAUGAAAUUCGUAUUUUUCUCAAUUAGUUUUGACCUUUGUGCCAACACAAUUCAAUGCUCAUUUCCUACUAAGACUUCACUGCUCAAUAUUCAAACUGGGAAAGAGAUGAAACAAAGAUGAAACAAGCAAGGCAAACUACAAACCUUUACUCCCUUGGGACAUUGAGGACUAAAAUUUCUGCUUUUAGAAUGUUCCCCUAUUGGACUAAUGAAAAUUUGUGACUGCCUGACUGAUUAUAGAAGUG